GAUGAACGCUGGCGGCGUGCCUAAUACAUGCAAGUCGAGCGAACGCAGGAGAAGCUUUCCUUUCUGACGUUAGCGGCGGACGGGGGAGUAACACGUGUGUAACCUAUCUAUAAGACUGGGAAAACUUCCGGAAACCGGAGCCAAUACCGGACAAACUUCUGAACCGCAUGGCUCAACAGCGAAAGACGGUCUUGCUUCUACUUAUAGAGGGCACCGCGCGGCAUUAGCUAGAUGGUAAGCUAACGGCUUACCAAGGCAACGAUGCAUAGCCGACCUGAGAGGGUGACCGGCCACACUAGAACUGAGACACGGUGCAGACGCCUACGGGAGGCAGCAGUCGGCAAUAUUCCGCAAUGGGCGAAAGCCUGAUGGAGCAACGCCGCGUGGGUGAUGAAGGUUUUCGGAGCGUGAAGCUCUGUUACUGGGGACGAACAGAUGUCUAAGUAACGGUGCACACCGUGACGGGACCCACUCAGAGAGUCACGGCGAAGUACGCG
This 497-nucleotide ribosomal RNA is filed under the name uncultured bacterium. RNAcentral's name for it is "partial 16S ribosomal RNA". It matches the Rfam family "Bacterial small subunit ribosomal RNA", at positions 28 to 507 of the family's 1533-position model. The record is from RNAcentral.